GGGGGUAUAGCUCAGUGGUAGAGCAUGGGCUUGGAGUGCAUGAGGUCCUGGGUUCAAUCCCCAGUGCCUCUG
Molecule: transfer RNA, 72 nt
Filed under: Camelus bactrianus (Bactrian camel)
Lineage: Eukaryota; Metazoa; Chordata; Mammalia; Artiodactyla; Camelidae
Also listed under: 2 other names
Rfam family: tRNA
About the family: Transfer RNA (tRNA) molecules are approximately 80 nucleotides in length. Their secondary structure includes four short double-helical elements and three loops (D, anti-codon, and T loops).
Source: Rfam by way of RNAcentral